Mytilus californianus (California mussel) is the source of this 505-nucleotide long non-coding RNA. RefSeq lists it as uncharacterized. NCBI's taxonomy places the organism in Eukaryota, Metazoa, Mollusca, Bivalvia, Mytilida, Mytilidae. The transcript has 2 exons. The record is from RefSeq and is a predicted model, not a curated record.
CGUCUGCGUUGUAUGCGUCGCUGUCCGAAGACACAUUUGUUUCCGGACAAUAACUUUAGUUUAAGUGAAUGGAUCUCUAUGAAAUUUUUUUAGAAGGUUCAAUACCACAAAAGGAAGGUUGAGAUUGAUUUUAGGGAUGAUGGUCCCAACCGUUUAGGAAUUAGGGGCCCAAAAGGGACCCAAAACAAGCAUUUAUCUAGUUUCAGGACAAUAACUUGUGUAUAAGUAUUUCAAUUGCUCUGAAAUUGUACCACAAUGUUUAAUACCACAAGUAGAAGGUGGGGAUUUAUUUUAAGGGUUAUGUGGCAAACAGUAUAGGAAUUAAGGGCCAAAAACAAGCAUUUUUCUAGUUUCCGGACAAUAACUUGUGUGUCAGUGUAUGGAUCUCUCAGACAUUGUACCACAAGGUUCCAUAUCACAAAGGGAAUGCUGGGAUUGAUUUUGGGGGUAAUUGCCUCAAAAUUUUAGGAAUUAGGGGCCAAAAAAGGGGCAAAAAACAAGCAUU